CCUAUGGGUGGCUGCAGUGGGGAAUAUUGGACAAUGGGCGAAAGCCUGAUCCAGCCAUGCCGCGUGUGUGAAGAAGGCCUUCGGGUUGUAAAGCACUUUCAGUGGGGAAGAAAGCCUUGGGGCUAAUACCCUCGAGGAAGGACAUCACCCACAGAAGAAGCACCGGCUAACUCCGUGCCAGCAGCCGCGGUAAUACGGAGGGUGCGAGCGUUAAUCGGAAUUACUGGGCGUAAAGCGCGCGUAGGCGGUCUGAUAAGCCGGUUGUGAAAGCCCCGGGCUCAACCUGGGAACGGCAUCCGGAACUGUCAGGCUAGAGUGCAGGAGAGGAAGGUAGAUUUCCCGGUGUAGCGGUGAAAUGCGUAGAGAUCGGGAGGAAUACCAGUGGCGAAGGCGGCCUUCUGGACUGACACUGACGCUGAGGUGCGAAAGCGUGGGUAGCAAACAGGAUUAGAUACCCUUGUAGC
This 464-nucleotide ribosomal RNA is filed under the name Vreelandella stevensii. RNAcentral describes it as "partial 16S ribosomal RNA". It matches the Rfam family "Bacterial small subunit ribosomal RNA", at positions 338 to 794 of the family's 1533-position model. Lineage: Bacteria; Pseudomonadati; Pseudomonadota; Gammaproteobacteria; Oceanospirillales; Halomonadaceae. The record is from RNAcentral.